This 75-nucleotide transfer RNA is filed under the name Chloroflexota bacterium. Its description in RNAcentral is "Chloroflexi bacterium tRNA-Pro". It matches the Rfam family "tRNA". Rfam says of the family: Transfer RNA (tRNA) molecules are approximately 80 nucleotides in length. Their secondary structure includes four short double-helical elements and three loops (D, anti-codon, and T loops). Further hydrogen bonds mediate the characteristic L-shaped molecular structure. tRNAs have two regions of fundamental functional importance: the anti-codon, which is responsible for specific mRNA codon recognition, and the 3' end, to which the tRNAs corresponding amino acid is attached (by aminoacyl-tRNA synthetases). tRNAs cope with the degeneracy of the genetic code in two manners: having more than one tRNA (with a specific anti-codon) for a particular amino acid; and 'wobble' base-pairing, i.e. permitting non-standard base-pairing at the 3rd anti-codon position. The record is from RNAcentral. RNAcentral also lists the same sequence under 1 other name. Lineage: Bacteria; Bacillati; Chloroflexota.
CGGGGAGUGGCGCAGUGGAAGCGCGCCUGCUUUGGGAGCAGGAGGUCGCGGGUUCGACCCCCGCCUCCCCGACCA